CAGCAGCCGCGGUAAUACGGAGGAUCCAAGCGUUAUCCGGAAUCAUUGGGUUUAAAGGGUCCGUAGGCGGUCUUGUAAGUCAGUGGUGAAAGCCCAUCGCUCAACGGUGGAACGGCCAUUGAUACUGCAGGACUUGAAUUAUUGGGAAGUAACUAGAAUAUGUAGUGUAGCGGUGAAAUGCUUAGAGAUUACAUGGAAUACCAAUUGCGAAGGCAGGUUACUACCAAUUGAUUGACGCUGAUGGACGAAAGCGUGGGUAGCGAACAGGAUUAGAUACCCCCGUAGUCCCUGUCUCUUAUAA
This 301-nucleotide ribosomal RNA is filed under the name uncultured bacterium. RNAcentral describes it as "partial 16S ribosomal RNA". It matches the Rfam family "Bacterial small subunit ribosomal RNA", at positions 509 to 809 of the family's 1533-position model. The record is from RNAcentral.